UAGUGGCGAACGGGUGAGUAACACGUGGGCAAUCUGCCCUGCACUCUGGGACAAGCCCUGGAAACGGGGUCUAAUACCGGAUACAACCACUGACCGCAUGGUCGGGUGGUGGAAAGCUCCGGCGGUGCAGGAUGAGCCCGCGGCCUAUCAGCUUGUUGGUGAGGUAGUGGCUCACCAAGGCGACGACGGGUAGCCGGCCUGAGAGGGCGACCGGCCACACUGGGACUGAGACACGGCCCAGACUCCUACGGGAGGCAGCAGUGGGGAAUAUUGCACAAUGGGCGAAAGCCUGAUGCAGCGACGCCGCGUGAGGGAUGACGGCCUUCGGGUUGUAAACCUCUUUCAGCAGGGAAGAAGCGAAAGUGACGGUACCUGCAGAAGAAGCGCCGGCUAACUACGUGCCAGCAGCCGCGGUAAUACGUAGGGCGCAAGCGUUGUCCGGAAUUAUUGGGCGUAAAGAGCUCGUAGGCGGCUUGUCGCGUCGGUUGUGAAAGCCCGGGGCUUAACCCCGGGUCUGCAGUC
Molecule: ribosomal RNA, 522 nt
Filed under: Streptomyces griseoaurantiacus
Lineage: Bacteria; Bacillati; Actinomycetota; Actinomycetes; Kitasatosporales; Streptomycetaceae
Description: bacterial SSU rRNA
Rfam family: Bacterial small subunit ribosomal RNA
Source: RNAcentral